UCAAGUCAUCAUGCCCCAUAUGUCCUGGGCUACACACGUACUACAAUGGGCUUUUAACAAAGAGAAGCGAAGCCGCGAGGCGGAGCAAACCUCAUAAAGGAGCUCUCAGUUCGGAUUGGAGGCUGCAACUCGCCUCCAUGAAGCAGGAAUCGCUAGUAAUCGCAGAUCAGCAUGCUGCGGUGAAUACGUUCCCGGGCCUU
This 200-nucleotide ribosomal RNA is filed under the name uncultured prokaryote. RNAcentral's name for it is "partial 16S ribosomal RNA". It matches the Rfam family "Bacterial small subunit ribosomal RNA", at positions 1185 to 1382 of the family's 1533-position model. The record is from RNAcentral.